GGGGGGGGGGGGGGGGGGGCGGGGGGGGGGGGGGGGGGGGGGGAGGGCGGGGCGGGGGGGGGGGGCGGGGGGGGCGGACGGGUGGGGAACACGGGGGGAGCCGGCCCGGGGCGGGGGGAGAAGUGCGGGAAACGGGGGCUGAUACCGGAUAGGAGCUCCGGCUGCAUGGCGGGGGUUCGCCAGGUUCGGCGGUUGGGGACGGACGCGCGGCUUAUCAGCUUGUUGGUGGGGUAGUGGCUUACCAAGGCUUUGACGGGUAGCCGGCCUGAGAGGGUGACCGGCCACAUUGGGACUGAGAUACGGCCCAGACUCCUACGGGAGGCAGCAGUGGGGAAUAUUGCACAAUGGGCGGAAGCCUGAUGCAGCAACGCCGCGUGCGGGAUGACGGCCUUCGGGUUGUAACCCGCUUUCGCCUGUGACGAAGCGUGAGUGACGGUAAUGGGUAAAGAAGCACCGGCUAACUACGUG
This 468-nucleotide ribosomal RNA is filed under the name uncultured bacterium. RNAcentral's name for it is "partial 16S ribosomal RNA". The stretch from base 65 to 468 matches the Rfam family "Bacterial small subunit ribosomal RNA", at positions 39 to 507 of the family's 1533-position model. The record is from RNAcentral.